RNAcentral lists this ribosomal RNA (402 nucleotides) under uncultured bacterium. RNAcentral describes it as "bacterial SSU rRNA". It matches the Rfam family "Bacterial small subunit ribosomal RNA", at positions 355 to 774 of the family's 1533-position model. The record is from RNAcentral.
UGGGGAAUAUUGGACAAUGGGGGAAACCCUGAUCCAGCAAUGCCGCGUGAGUGAAGAAGGCCUUAGGGUUGUAAAGCUCUUUCGCCCGCGAAGAUAAUGACGGUAGCGGGAGAAGAAGCCCCGGCUAACUCCGUGCCAGCAGCCGCGGUAAUACGGAGGGGGCUAGCGUUGUUCGGAAUUACUGGGCGUAAAGCGUACGUAGGCGGAUGCGCAAGUUGGGGGUGAAAUCCCGGGGCUUAACCUCGGAAUUGCCCUCAAAACUGCACGUCUUGAGACCGAGAGAGGUAAGGGGAAUUCCUAGUGUAGAGGUGAAAUUCGUAGAUAUGAGGAAGAACACCUGUGGCGAAGGCGCCUUACUGGCUCGGUACUGACGCUGAGGUACGAAAGCGUGGGGAGCAAACA